AGCUCCAAUAGCGUAUAUUAAAGUUGUUGCAGUUAAAAAGCUCGUAGUUGGAUUUCUGGGUCGGAAGGCUGGCCUCGCCCGCAAGGGCGCUGCGCCGUGCUUUGUCGGCUCAUCCUCGGGUGGGUCCGUUCUGGCAUUAGGUUGUCGGGGCGGGGAAGCCCGUCUUUUACUGUGAAAAAAUUAGAGUGUUCAAAGCAGGCUUAUGCCGUUGGAUACAUUAGCAUGGAAUAAUGAGAUAGGACCGUGGUGUUUUAUUUUGUUGGUUUGCACGCCAAGGUAAUGAUUAACAGGGACAGUUGGGGGUAUUCGUAUUCAAUUGUCAGAGGUGAAAUUCUUGGAUUUAUGGAAGACGAACUACUGCGAAAGCAUUUACCAAGGAUGUUUUCA
RNAcentral lists this ribosomal RNA (387 nucleotides) under uncultured eukaryote. Its description in RNAcentral is "SSU rRNA". It matches the Rfam family "Eukaryotic small subunit ribosomal RNA", at positions 587 to 972 of the family's 1831-position model. The record is from RNAcentral.